GCCGGGUAUGGUAGCGUAUGCCUGUGAUGCCAGUGGCUCAGGAGGCUGAGACAGGAGGAUGGCAAGUUCAAAGCCAGCCUCAGCAAAAACGAAGCACUAAGCAACUCAGUGAGACCCUGUCUCUA
This 125-nucleotide small RNA is filed under the name Marmota monax (woodchuck). The record is from RNAcentral. Lineage: Eukaryota; Metazoa; Chordata; Mammalia; Rodentia; Sciuridae.